Molecule: long non-coding RNA, 1442 nt
Organism: Ostrinia nubilalis (European corn borer)
Lineage: Eukaryota; Metazoa; Arthropoda; Insecta; Lepidoptera; Crambidae
Exons: 2
Source: RefSeq, a predicted model, not a curated record
AGUGCUUAUUACACUACGCGGUAUUCAGACAGUCUUACUAAGACUGUCUUAAAAUCUAACUAGACAAGCUCGCUAUUACACUGUGCUGAAUAUCGCAUGCUAACUCAUUUGCAAGGCGUACGUAGUCGGUGACGGUUGUCGCGCGAUGGGAAAACUUUCAAAGCACCAGAAAAUCGCCAUAGCUCUUGCCGCAUCUAUUAAUUUAAAUACAAAAAAGAAAAGAAAAAUAUGGGUGAAAGAGUAUUUACUUUUACGAGAAAAAUUAUCAAAUAUGCAAAUACUGAGUGUUCUGGAACCAUGUGACUUAAGAAACUACCUUAGAGUAGGAGUUGCCGAGUUUGAAUGUCUUUUGAAAUUAGUUACUCCGUAUAUUCAAAAAGAAGAUACGAUUCUUAGACAAAGUGUCAGUGCUAAACAAAGAUUGGUAGUUACUUUAAGAUUCCUGGCAACGGGCAACUCCUAUCAAGACCUAAGGUUCAGCUCUUUGAUAUCGCAACCUCUUUUAUCGUCAAUUAUACCAGAAACAUGCCGGGCUAUCUACAAAUGCUUAAAACAUUUGAUCAAGAUACCUGAAAAUGAGACAGAAUGGACAGAAAUUGCUGAGGAAUUCGAAACAAAAUGGAAUUUCAGUCACUGUAUUGGAUCAUGUGAUGGGAAGCAUAUCGCCAUCGAAAAACCCCCCGGAAGUGGCUCUUUGUUCUAUAAUUAUAAGGGAUUCUUCAGUAUAGUGCUGUUUGCUGUUGUAAACGCUAACUACGAAUUCAUGUAUAUACACACAGGCACCAAUGGAUCCGUUGCAGAUGGAGCAAUUUUAAAAUGUACAAAAUUUUAUAAGAAAAUGAUGAACAAUUCUUUAAAUUUGCCAUCUCCAUCUCCACUACCAGGCACAAACGAAAUUGUACCAUACGUGUUUCUGGGGGAUAGUGCAUUCGCAUUAAAUAAAAAUUUAAUGAAACCGUUUCCUUUUAAAAAUAUUAAUCGUUCACAAAGGAUUUUUAAUUAUCGAUUAUCGCGAGCCAGAAGAGUGGUUGAAAAUGCCUUUGGCAUAUUAAGUUCCCGUUUCAGAAUACUGCGUAGACCACUUGAUCUAGAUCUGGACAAUGUGGAUGCUGUAGUGUUGGCAUGUUGCGCUCUGCAUAACUUUCUGAGGAAACGAGUACCAACUUAUAUAUCUCAUUCUAAUAUUGACUCAGAAAAUAUAAGACUGGGUACGUUUCGCGAAGGAGAUUGGAGACAAACCUCUGCACCCUUAGUUUCAUUACAGCGUUCAUCAAAUAGGCAGCGUAAUGAAGAUGGCAACAUUGUUCGCAAUAAAUUCAUGGACUAUUUCAAUUCUGUUGGACGUGUUAGUUUCCAAGACCGAAUGAUUGAUGUUGUACCACCAUAAUAUUUGUUGUACCUACCAUUUUAUCUGAUUAAAUAAUGCUUAGUAAAAAAUAAAA